This is a non-coding RNA of Coemansia sp. RSA 1836, 74 nucleotides long. Lineage: Eukaryota; Fungi; Kickxellomycota; Kickxellomycetes; Kickxellales; Kickxellaceae. The record is from the annotation of a GenBank genome assembly.
GAUUUCGUGGUGUAGUAGGCUAUCACAUUCGCCUCACACGCGAAAGGUCUCCGGUUCGAGCCCGGGCGAAAUCA